RNAcentral lists this ribosomal RNA (205 nucleotides) under uncultured bacterium. RNAcentral's name for it is "partial 16S ribosomal RNA". It matches the Rfam family "Bacterial small subunit ribosomal RNA", at positions 568 to 774 of the family's 1533-position model. The record is from RNAcentral.
UGCGUAGGCGGCUUUGCAAGUCAGAUGUGAAAUCUAUGGGCUCAACCCAUAAACUGCAUUUGAAACUGUAGAGCUUGAGUGAAGUAGAGGCAGGCGGAAUUCCCCGUGUAGCGGUGAAAUGCGUAGAGAUGGGGAGGAACACCAGUGGCGAAGGCGGCCUGCUGGGCUUUAACUGACGCUGAGGACAAAGCGUGGGUAGCAAACA